CACUCGGGCUCCGGCACGGCAGAACGGAAUGCUGCCCAACGACAAGUGUGAUUUCGCCCGCAACGUUGCUUUCCGAGUGCACAAAUGCAAAAUCAUUGGAUGGAGUCGUGUGAUGGCCGUGAAAAGAAGAAUACCCCAACUGGCGAAGAGGCAGCAAGGAAUACGACACACUUAAUUGGGACGCCAGACGCUGAUGGGACAAGAGGCCCCCUUCCCGAUAGCGAGCGUCCACUUGACCCAGCACAUGGCCUUUUGGCCCCUGGAUCCCAUGGUGGCCUGGUUUGGCCUGAUGGCUUGGACCACUUCAUCCCAGCGCCAUAUUAGGUCCCGAACGCAGUCAGAAAAACUCAAGAAAUUCAUGGACGGUGACCGCGGGCCGCGGCGGCAGACAUCCAAGGACGAAGAGCAGCCACUUCGACCACCAGUUUUCCAUGUUUUUCG
This is a long non-coding RNA of Frankliniella occidentalis (western flower thrips), 441 nucleotides long. RefSeq lists it as uncharacterized. The transcript is spliced from 3 exons. Lineage: Eukaryota; Metazoa; Arthropoda; Insecta; Thysanoptera; Thripidae. The record is from RefSeq and is a predicted model, not a curated record.